Molecule: ribosomal RNA, 405 nt
Filed under: uncultured prokaryote
Description: bacterial SSU rRNA
Rfam family: Bacterial small subunit ribosomal RNA
Source: RNAcentral
UGGGGAAUAUUGGGCAAUGGGCGCAAGCCUGACCCAGCAACGCCGCGUGAGGGAAGAAGGCUUUCGGGUUGUAAACCUCUGUCCUUGGUGACGAAAAAAAUGACGGUAGCCAAGGAGGAAGCCCCGGCUAACUACGUGCCAGCAGCCGCGGUAAUACGUAGGGGGCGAGCGUUGUCCGGAAGUACUGGGCGUAAAGGGUGCGUAGGUGGCCUUUUAAGGUGGAUGUGAAAUCCCUGGGCUUAACUUGGGGGGUGCAUCUAAUACUGGAGGGCUAGAGUGCAGGAGAGGAAAGCGGAAUUCCUAGUGGAGCGGUGAAAUGCGUAGAUAUUAGGAGGAACACCAGUGGCGAAGGCGGCUUUCUGGACUGUAACUGACACUGAGGCACGAAAGCGUGGGGAGCAAACA